GACAACGGAUAUCUCGGCUCUCGCAUCGAUGAAGAACGUAGUGAAAUGCGAUACUUGGUGUGAAUUGCAGAAUCCCGUGAACCAUCGAGUUUUUGAACGCAAGUUGUGCCCGAAGCCAUCCGGCCGAGGGCACGUCUGCCUGGGCGUC
This 148-nucleotide ribosomal RNA is filed under the name Cornus hongkongensis. RNAcentral's name for it is "partial 5.8S ribosomal RNA". It matches the Rfam family "5.8S ribosomal RNA". Rfam says of the family: 5.8S ribosomal RNA (5.8S rRNA) is a component of the large subunit of the eukaryotic ribosome. It is transcribed by RNA polymerase I as part of the 45S precursor that also contains 18S and 28S rRNA. Functionally, it is thought that 5.8S rRNA may be involved in ribosome translocation. The record is from RNAcentral. Lineage: Eukaryota; Viridiplantae; Streptophyta; Magnoliopsida; Cornales; Cornaceae.